Molecule: ribosomal RNA, 281 nt
Filed under: unidentified marine bacterioplankton
Lineage: Bacteria
Description: partial 16S ribosomal RNA
Rfam family: Bacterial small subunit ribosomal RNA
Source: RNAcentral
CAAGUCGAACGGUAACGCGGACUUCGGUCUGGCGACGAGUGGCGAACGGGUGAGGUAAUGCAUCGGAACGUAUCCAUUUGUGGGGGAUAGCCCGGCGAAAGCCGGAUUAAUACCGCAUAAAUCUCUGAGGAGGAAAGUGGGGGACCUUCGGGCCUUACGCUGAUGGAGCGGCUGAUGUCGGAUUAGCUAAGUUGGUAGGUAAAGGCCUACCAAGGCGACGAUCCGUAGCUGGUCUGAGAGGACGACCAGCCACACUAGAACUGAGACACGGUCCAGACUCC